GCUUAGGUUACAAGAAAGGAUAUGAUUAAGAGAAUUCAACCAAAUUGCCUAUCCUAAGGGAGCAUUCCCAAAUAUUCAACUCUACACAAUUUCCAUUUCUUUGAUCCCUAUCUUUUUCUUUUUCUUUUUCUUUUCACAUCCACACAACCAUGAGCAUUUUCUUUGCUUUUUUCUUUCUUUUCUUUUUCUUUGCUCUAUGGUUUCAAGGGUGAUUUCUUUUUCUUGUUUCUUUUCAUAUUUUCACCCUUUCAUAAAAACUCACUUUUCCAAGUUUCUAAUCAACUUUUCACUUUAC
This 295-nucleotide long non-coding RNA is filed under the name Lathyrus oleraceus (garden pea). Its description in RNAcentral is "Pisum sativum (pea) long non-coding RNA (PSAT_LNC001471)". The record is from RNAcentral. Lineage: Eukaryota; Viridiplantae; Streptophyta; Magnoliopsida; Fabales; Fabaceae.